GGGGUUGUGGCUCAGUGAUAGAGCUCUCACCUAGCAUGUGAGAGGCGCUGGGUUUGAUCCUCAGCACCCCA
This 71-nucleotide transfer RNA is filed under the name Ictidomys tridecemlineatus (thirteen-lined ground squirrel). Its description in RNAcentral is "Spermophilus tridecemlineatus (thirteen-lined ground squirrel) tRNA". It matches the Rfam family "tRNA". Rfam says of the family: Transfer RNA (tRNA) molecules are approximately 80 nucleotides in length. Their secondary structure includes four short double-helical elements and three loops (D, anti-codon, and T loops). Further hydrogen bonds mediate the characteristic L-shaped molecular structure. tRNAs have two regions of fundamental functional importance: the anti-codon, which is responsible for specific mRNA codon recognition, and the 3' end, to which the tRNAs corresponding amino acid is attached (by aminoacyl-tRNA synthetases). tRNAs cope with the degeneracy of the genetic code in two manners: having more than one tRNA (with a specific anti-codon) for a particular amino acid; and 'wobble' base-pairing, i.e. permitting non-standard base-pairing at the 3rd anti-codon position. Lineage: Eukaryota; Metazoa; Chordata; Mammalia; Rodentia; Sciuridae. The record is from Rfam by way of RNAcentral.